GGUUAGGUUGUGAACAAGUCCCUCCAGAGCAUGUUUGUCAAUUGUUUGUUCACCAAACACAGAGGAGGAGAGAUCAAGUGAAACCAAUUUUGACAGGUGGGAGACUUGGGAUGGGACUUCUCCUGCAAACCCUGUAUAAGAAAGGUUGAGGUAGAAUAGGCUAGUAAACCGACCGAACUCGGAUGGAAUUUUGGAAAGAUUAAAAUCAUUGUAGGCAAGGUUGAGUUUUUGAAGGUGAGGAAGAAGGAAGAGAGUGGUAUUGGAAGGGAAGUUGCCAUAUAGCCAACUGCAGCUCAAGUCAAGGGCAAUAACAUGAGCAUUUAGGUGGUCACAAGUGACCCCAUCCCAUGAGCAGCAAUCUGUACCCUCCUUCCAUGAAUUUGUCUUGGGAUAAGAUUUAAGGCCAGCAUAAUCAUUGCAAUAAGAAGAAACAUCCUCUGUUACGGAAAAAGAGUCCUUAAACUGGAUUAGGGAAGAGCAGGAGUGAGAUCCUGAAGAAGAAAAAGAAGCAUAAAGAUGGGGAAAGAAGAGGAAUAGGCAGAGAAAGAGAUAGGGGGCCAUGUUAUGUUUGUAGAGAAAGAAGAAGGAUAGGAAUGGUAUUUGUAGGCAACAAAUAGUACCACAACAUUGGUGUUACAGUAUUUUUUUUUUCUUUUACAUUGAAAAGCUAUGGAUAUUAGAUUUUCAAAAAUUUUGUAUUUUUCACCAUCAUCAACAACCACUUAGUCUUCUUUUUACCAUAUAUUUUUCAUUCUAUUUUUUUAACAAAAUCUUGUAUUUCAUUUCAGCUUUCAAAACAACUAAAAAAUUUAAAAUUGAUGAAAUUACAAAGUAGAUUGACUUAGUCUUCUUUCCUAUAACAUUUAAAAGAAUAUCUUGUCAACCAAAGUUAAUUAAUGUGAAAAUUCUUUUUCACACAAAAGAACAAAAUUGUGCUCUAUUCACUAAGUUAGAGGAAAAAGACUGCUAGAUUUUUUAAUUAUUUUUUCUUUGAAAAAUUUGAAAGUUUUUUACUGCCUUUAAGCCAAUAAAAAAAACAUGUAUUAAUUUUGUUUUUAAAAAUAGUGUGUUUGAUUGUGAAAUGAUUCAUCAUCCUCCACCACAAACUAUCCAUAUUUGCAGUGUGAAAGCAGCUACUUUCAUAAAGAAAUUACUUAGGAGAUGGGAUCCACCAAUUUUACCUAAACUCGCAUCAACAUUGUUUAGCAAUUUCAAAAUAGACUAAUUAGUCUGGUUCAAAUACCAAGACUACAAUAUCUAUUCACUUCACUUGGUCUUGCUUCCUAUCGCUGUCAGCCAAACUUGAUCGACUAGCAGUAAGGAAAUUUCAGUCAUUUGCAGCAUAAUGUACAAGAAUUCCACUCCCGCAAAAUAAUUUACAAUAUGGACUAACACACUAAAAAUGAUUUUUAAAAAAUGAUUUUUAGAAAGUAAUUUUUGAAAAAUGGUUAGAAGAUAAUUUUUGUUUCUGAAAUAGUUAAUUUUUUUUGGUGUUUAGAUAAAUUUUGUUAUGUUUUCAUUGUUUACUUGAGUUUAUUUCAUAAAGCUUAUGUAUAUAUUUUAAUUAAUCAUGUUUUAGUUUUAAUUAAUCUUAAUUUACUUAAUUAAGCUUAAUUGUUAACUUCGUACAUUAGAAUAUAAAUUUAUGUUUAAUUAAGUUGAAAGUGAUAAAUAUUUAUUUUGAAUAUUAUUUGGAUAAGUUGAAAAAUGAUUUAAUUUGAUAAAAUUGAAGUCAGGGUCAUAGAACUAUGCUUUUUACUGACAAAAUCUUAGAUGCAGUGAUUAUUGAGACUAAAAAAUGAAAGUCAUGAAAGAAGACAUAAAUAGUUGAACCAUACAAAAUGUUACAUUUUGUAAUGCAAUGAAAUAUAGAUGAAUUGUUACAAAUAUAAAGACAGAUGCAUUGCAAUGCAACCUUUCUCCAUAGGAAAAAAAAUUUGACAGACUUCAAAACAAGAAAUUAUGAAGAUACAACAUACACACUUGAACAUCAUUUCCACUAACUAGAUCCUUCUUCGUCCAUUGCUGCGACUGCCAUCCUUUGACUUUCUUCUUCGCUACUUCUCAUGUUGGAUUCAACCAAAUUCACCAACCAUUUUGGCUUACUAAUUUGGAAAACAACAUAUCCCACGACCAUUCCAAACACUACUCCGCAUCCAUAACCUAUCAACACCAAUUUCCAACCAAAAGAGAUGUUUGAUUUUGAACCAUCUUUUCCAAGCACAUUUGGAGGUGGUGGCUCAAUGAUGUUGCAACCUUUUGAGACCGGAAAUCCACAUAAUCCCUUGUUUCCUUCAUAUGAAUCAUUUCCAUAUGUGUUGAACUGUUUGCCUUGAGGAAUCUGACCAUGGAGUUGAUUUUCAGAAACAUUGAAGGACGAAAGAAAUGCCAGAUCUGCAAAUCUAUUUCGAAUUGUCCCUGACAACCUGUUUGAAUAUAGGUCCAACCAUUCAAGACUCGUCAAAUUCCCUAUUGAAGUGGGGAUACCACCGUUAUAAACACUGUCAUAUGGCAUGAAUAACAUACUCAUAUAUUUACUGUCACAUGGCAUGAAAAACACACCCUCAUAUUCACUUUCACAUUAGUCAUCAUAAGCUUAUAACAUAUGUCAUAGCAAUCUCAUAUAUAUUCAUAAUUUCACAAUUUCACAAGCGUACAUAUAUCACAUUUAAUCAUAUGCGCGAGAAAACUUACUCUCACUUACUCUUGGAAUUUAGAGUAGGAAUUUAGGCUACCACUAAAUUCUCAUCAAUUAAACAAUGAAUCAUCUACGAGCAACAAUUUCAAACCACAAUGAAUCGAGAGCUCAAACUAGCUCUUCCUCUAACUCGUAGAAGGCUUUAAUGAAUCCGAGGCUUCACACAUGACAAUCACACAAUACUCACAGUCAAAUGACAGCCAAGGACCCACUUAAACUAACCAAAAUAAAAGCCUAAGCUACCUUCUAAUGUAACCAAACCCUUUAGCAUGACGAACUUAAAAUGCAAAUAUAUCAAUCUACACUUAAACAUUUUCACAUGAAACAAGUUUCAGUCAUCCCCCAUAUUCAUUUAUAGCUAAACUCCAAUCUUUAAACCACACAAAACUACAAGUUUCAAGGUAUAACAUUUUUCCACAAAUUUUGACCAUAAUAAUGAAAAUUCAUUAAAACACGGGAAAUCUAUAAUGAAACUUAGAAGUAAUUUUAAAAAACUUCUAAUUAAGUUAAAACAAGUUGAAAAACACUUUUAAAUCACUUUUUCAUCCACAAUCUCGAAUUCCACCAUUAAUGACCCAAUUUUUAGGUUUAAAUUAAAACAUGCAAUUUCAUAACUAAAAUCUCAAUUUUAAAGUCUAGAUAACAUUAAAAACUAAUGAGAAAGUAAAUGGUUACCUUUGAUGAAAGAUUAAACGAGUUUUGAAGUAAAUUUGAAAAACCCACAAUUGAAGAAGAAGAUGAAAUCUAUGGCGUUUUUGAGUGUUUUUCUUGGAAUUAUAAGAAAUCAAAGUACUAUUGUUUGGGAAUAAAAAUUAAUUGAAAGAUCAAGGGAAUAGCAAAGGACGGCAAUAGCAAACUUUGGAGAGUAACUAUUGUGAAAUAGAACAGGGAAUGGGGUUUAUUAGGUUCAAUUUAAAACAUUGGUAAAACUUCAAUCUAAGUGCUCACUAUUUUAACUUUGUUACAAAUUAGUUCUUUUUCUAAAUUUUAGGUAUUUAAAACUCAUUUUCAGAAAUCGGCUCAAUUCCCUAAUAGCCAUUGUCGAAAACAUUAUUGAAUACUAACCUUACGAAAUUUUGAUUACAUAUAGGCUAAAAUUCCUAAAAAAAAAUUGAAACUCUUAGAUCCUAUUUUGGGGUGUUCACGUAUGGUCAUGAUUCAUGUUGAAUUAAUACAUCAUUCACCGUAAUAAGGCUUAUCGUUGUAAUAAUUAGUUAAAUCACCUAAUAUCUAAAAAAUUAUUAUUAUUUUCAUAAAAUCAUUGAUCAAAUUAUUGUUUUCAAAUUUCAUACAUAAAAUUAACAAAUAAAGAUAGCUCUAAAUAGCAAAACCCAAUAUGUGUAACAAGUAUUUUUAUUAAUCCAUUUGGAAUGUUAAGGUUUGCUGGAGCAAAUAAAUUGAUUAAUGCUUUGAACUUUCCAAACACUUUUUAUAGUUUUGUUAUAUGCAUUUUGUAUAAUUAGUAUAUUUGAAUAUAUUAGAUACAUCGUCUAAAACAAUGCCAAUUGUAAUUUUUUUAUAUUUUGUUGAUCAUAAGCGUAUUAUAUAAAUAAUUUAAAAAAAAAAAGAUGGAGUGAUACAUUUAUGUAGUGCUUAUGAAUAUAAUGUUGGAUUAAAAUCCUUAAUUAUGAGUACAUAUGUAUAUGCUUGAUAUUACAAUUAUCUUAAUAAUUUUGUUUCUGUUCUUGUUGAUUGAUGAUUAUAGAAAUCAUUAUUCUUCUGAAGGCAUACUUUGUUGUCAAUGACAGUACCUGCACCCUAAAAAAGUCACCAGCUUUAACGACUACAAAAGUUGUCCUGCCUGAUAUUUAUUAAAAAAUCACCAGGAAGCACAUUGUCAGGACAUCCUUGCUGGAAAAAAACUUGGUAGGAUGGUUUUUCUGUGCAAACUUAGUAAUUAAUUUAUGUUGUUUUUACCAAACUUUGUAGCGUUUCACUUUUGGUAAAAUUUCAUCCUUGGUCCCUUUAAACUCCUUUUUGCUUUAAUUUGAUUGCUUUCUAGCGUUGCAAAUUACAUAACACUCUUCAAAUGUCUUAUUAAAUUCUCACUUUUACGAGUGCUAUGUUAAUCAAUUUUAAGUUCCAUAUAACACUUACAUGGCUACAAAAUGUGUGUGUGUGUAAGUGUCCUCAACCACAAACAAUCCAAAUUUGCUGAGAAACCACCCAUUAUAUAUAGGUUUGCCAAUGAGAUGGCAAGCAGACUGCUAGCUAGAAAUUCAUGCAUCUUUGAAUCACCAAUUCAAUUAAUAAGCUUAACUAGAGGAAAUAAGGACUUUACACCACCAAUUAAAGCAACCUAUAUGUACCCUUUUACAGUCUGCAUUGUUCCAUGUUUCCAUUCAUUACAUCAUUCCUUCAACUCUGCUAUAUAUUAUUACCGUCUCCAGAAAACCAAACCUUUUACUGCUAACUUGUAAAAAAAUUAUGAAAAUACAACAGAGAUCAUUGAGACAUUGUUGAAGUUGGCUUGCAUGCAGACCAAGAAGCACACCAAGCUGUCCGAGAUAUGCAAGUUGCAGCUGAAGCUUAUGCUGCUGUUUUGUUACUUUCAAAUAGAUAUUUUAUUAUUUACUUAGAUAUGAACUAAGUUGCUGAUAUGCUUGAUGUAAUUAGGAGCUGAUAGAUUGAUAAAUCAGCUUUACCAAGUGUACAAGCAAUGUUUAUCAAGUUACUAAGCCACUUAGUGGAGUUAGGUAUGUGUUUAGGUAACAUUUUCUUAUUUUUGACCAGCUGAUUGCUUGCUAUAUGUAAUGGCAUUGUGCCUUCAUUCAAAUGUAAAGAAAUCUUUCAGAAAAUUCUUCUUCAUUUGGUCUUUACCUAAGCAUUUUUUUUCACGAAGCUCUUGCUGUUUUUGUUUUGUUUGUUGAGCAAGAUAACAAUGCUUUAUGCUUAAGUUUCUGUCAAAAUUUCUCAUUCUGUUUUCUUAGUUCCUACAGACAUUUUGUUCUCCUUUCUCCUUUACUGAGCAGUAGCAAAGAUUAUCGAGACUAAAUUGAAAUCCAUGAAAGAAGACAUAAACAACACCACCAUACAAAAUGUCACACUCAAACAAACCAUUACAGAUACGAAAUGCAAUGAAAGACAGAGGAAUUGGUACAAUAAUAAAGACAGCCAGAUACCAAUGCAACCCUUCACCAUAGGCAAAACGGUCUACAAACAAGAAAUUAUGAAAAAUACAACACUAAUUCUUGAACAUCAUUUGCAGUAAUUAAAUCCUUCUUCGUCUACUGCUGUGAUUGCCUUUCUUUGACUUUCUUCUUCGCCUCUUCUCAUGUUGGUUUUCAACCAAAUUCACCAACCAUUUUGGCUUACCAGUUUGGAAAACAACAUAUCCCACGGACAUUCCGAACACUACUCCGCAUCCAUAACCUAUCAACACCACUUUCCAACCAAAAGCAAUGUUUGAUUUUGAGCCAUCUUUUUCAAGCACAUUUGGAGGUGCUGGAUCAAUGAUGUUGCAACCUUUCGAGACCGGAAACCCACACAGUCCCUUAUUUCCUUCAUAUGAAUCAUUUCCAAAUGUGUUGAAUUGUUUGCCUUGAGGAAUCUGACCAUGGAGUUGAUUUUCAGAAACAUUGAAGGACGAAAGAAAUGGCAGAUCUGCCAAUCUAUUUGGAAUCGUCCCAGACAACCUGUUUGAAGAUAGGUCCAACCAUUCAAGACUUGUCAAAUUCCCUAUUGAGGUGGGGAUAUCACCAAUAAGGUUAUUAUGAGAAAGGUUGAGCCCUUUCAGUAAGUUAAGCUUCCCAAUAACCUUUGGAAUACCCCUUUCAAACUGAUUGUUUGAUAGAUCAAUGAUCAUCCACAUGGUGAAAAUUUUCACCAAUUCCCUAUCUUGUCCUUUCAUAACAAUUCCAAUGGAAUAGGUAUAGAAGCCAACUCCAUAAUCAUGCACCCCCAUGUAUGACACUGUACUACCAAUCUUCUCUAGAUUUAUGAUAGCCUUGAAGCUGUUGAUGUAUCUCACUGGUAGGGGUCCAGAAAAAUAAUUACUUGAGAGAUCAAAAAUUUGGAUUUUAGAGAAAAAAGGGAUAGACUUGGAGCUAUUGACACAUAAGGAACCAUGCAGUUGAUUUGACUUCAAUACAAGAACUUGUAGCUGUGGAAGACUUCCCAACCAGUGAGGAAAUGUAUCAUUGAUCUUGUUGUUACCAAGAUCUAGCACUUCCAGACCUCUACAAUUAAGGAUGGAUGGUGUCAAAGGCCCUUCUAACAGAUUUCCAUUUAAGUUGAAAUUACUCAAUCGGCAUCCCUUUGCAAAUGCUGGAGGAAUCGUCCCAUAAUACUUGUUCUUCUUCAGAUUCAAGAAUAGAAGGCUGUUGCUCAAAUUUCCAAAACAUUGUGGAAUUGUUCCACUCAAGUUAUUGUGGGACAAAUCAAGAAUUUCAAGAAAAGCGGCAUUGCAUAUUAAAGAAGAGACCUCUCCAUUGAAACUAUUAUUUGAGAUCAAAAAGACUCUUAUGGUCGAAGCUGGAAUCGGAAGAUUUCCACUGAUCAAAUUGGAGCUUAAGUCAAGAACAUCAAUAUUCUUCCAUGGAAAGUGCUCAACUUCUGUCAAAGUGUUGUGAGAUACAUUUAAGUGAGUCAAAGAGCCAUUCCCCACCUCUCGCAUCCACUGUGGAAUCUUGCCUUCAAUUUUGUUGCAAGAGAGGUGUUGAAGUAAUGGUCAGCAUGCAGCAACCAAGACUGUCAAAGGCACUACAUGCAGAAGCUGCUGGUUCACCUAGUCAGCAAGCUGUUUAUGUUUCAUUUUGUAAUUUUAAGUUAGAGUAAUGUAACUUAGUUGCUUUAUAACUAUGUUAGGUUUAUGUUUGAUGUAAUUUUGAUGUUGACUGAGCUGAUAAAUCAGCUUUGUUUGUUUAUUCAAGCUAAUUAGCACAAGUUACUAUGUGUAUUAGUGGUAGUAGGUGAAGUUUAGGUCAACCUACUGUUUUGUCAAGAUUGUAAACUUGUUUUAUGUAUUGGCUUUGUGCCAUAUUUAGUUUGAUGAAUGAAUUCAAGAAGUUAUCAUCCAUAUGCUCUCCAUUUUUAGUUUUGCUUAAAAAUCCAUUUGAGUUUUCUGCUUUGUUUCUCCUACAAGUCACGAGACUUGCCAUACAAGCAUUCUGCUGAAGCUUGCUGCUGCUGCCUCUUGCACCAACAAUUGGUAUCUAGAGCCACAUUCUUAGAGGACCUGUUGUAGUUCAGUAUCAAAACGAUGGCAUCAUCAGGUUUUUCACCAGCUUCACCACCUGUCUUCAAUGGAGAGGGCUUCAACAUUUGGGCAGUUAAGAUGAGGACUUACCUGCAGGCAUUCGACCUAUGGGAAGUUGUUAACUCAGAUGCUGAGCCAGCACCUCUUCGAGCUAAUCCAACAGUUGCUCAAAUAAGGCAACACACUGAUGAAAGGACAAAAAGGCACAAGGCCAUGUCAUGCAUACAGAAUUGUGUGACAGAUGUGAUCUUUAUGAGGAUCAUGGCCUGUGAGACACCAAAGGAGGCUUGGGACAAGCUGAAAGAAGAAUUUCAGGGGACUGAGAAAACAAGGCAACAACAGCUGCUCAAUUUGAGAAGAGAUUUCGAAAAUCUCAAAAUGAAAGAGGAAGAAACAGUUAAGCAGUACUCAGACCGGAUUAUGGCUGUUGUAAACAGCAUAAGGCUCCUAGGAGAGCAAUUCAGUGAAGCUAGAAUGGUUGAGAAAGUCAUGUCCACUCUACCAGAGAGGUAUGAAGCUAAAAUUUCAUCCCUCGAAGACUCAAGGGACUUGACAACUAUCUCCUUAACUGAGCUAAUCAAUGCCUUGUAUGCAUAAGAGCAAAGAAGAGCUAGCAGACAAGAGGAGCACCAGGAAGGGGCUUUUCAAGCCAAAGAAGCCUCGAGCAUCAAAACUCAUAAAGGCAAAAAGUUCUGGAAAAACAAGCCUAAGCCUGAUGCUGCUAGGAGCAGUGACCAACUCUGCAGACAUUGUAAAAGAGCUGGUCAUCCAGAAGAUAGAUGCUGGUUUAGACCAGAUGCAGUAUGCCAAAACUGCAAGAAAAAAGGCCAUGUUGAAAAAGUUUGCAAGAAUAGAAGCAAACCAAGACAGAAUCAAUUUCAGCAACAAAAGGUGGAAGCUCGAGUAGCUGAAGAAAGUAGUGAUCAAGAAGAACAUGUUUUUGCUGUGUCAUGUGCAGCAAAUCAGAAGAAGGGUUCAAAGGGCUGGCUUCUAGACAGUGGGUGCACAAACCACAUGUCACCAGAUGCAACUAUCUUCAAAACCCUGGACAGAACCUGCAAAACCAAAGUAAAAAUUGGAAAUGGUCAGUUAAUCAAUGCUGAAGGAAGAGGAGAUGUGCUGAUUCAUACUUCUACAGGUGGCAAAAUCAUUUCAAAUGUACUUUUGGUACCUGAAAUCGAUAGGAACCUUCUCAGUAUAACUCAACUACUUGAGAAAGGUUACUCAGUUGUUUUCAAGGAGAAAGAAUGUCAAAUUUUUGAUCCAAGUGGAUCAAAUCUUAUAACAGUCACCAUGACUGAUAAAUGUUUUGAAGUAGACUGGCCAAAUGACUCACAUUCAGCCUGCAUAGCCUCCACUAAUGACUCGAGACUCUGGCAUCAGAGGCUUGGACAUGCAAACUACAAAUCCAUAGCCCGCAUGGUCAAUGAAGGUCUGGCAGAAAAUUUCAUUGAUUCAGUGAAGAAUGAUGAGCUUUGUGAGAUAUGUCAGCAAGGAAAAUUGGCAAGAUUGCCAUUUCCAACAAGCACAACAUGGAGAGCAUCAGAGAAGCUCCAGCUUGUGCAUACAGAUGUGUGUGGACCAAUGAAGACUGAGUCUCUCAAAGGAAGCAGGUACUUUAUUUUAUUUAUUGAUGACUUAACAAGAUACUGCUGGAUUUAUUUUCUAAAACAGAAAUCAGAAGUACCAUCUAUGUUCCUGAAGUAUAAGGCUGCUGUUGAAACUGAGUCUGGUUGCAAACUUAGAGCAAUGAGGUCAGAUAAUGGAACUGAGUACACCUCAGCUCAGUUCCAAGUCUACUGUGAAGAAGCAGGUAUCAAACACCAGUUGACUAAUGUGUAUACACCCCAACAGAAUGGGGUCAGUGAAAGGAAAAACAGAAGCUUGAUGAACAUGGCAAGAUGUCUUCUGUUUGAGAAGAAUUUGCCCAAAAGUCUGUGGGCUGAAGCUGUUAACACAGCAGUUUAUCUCUAAAAUAGGCUCCCAACCAAGGCUCUGGCUGAGAAGACUCCAUUUGAAGCCUGGUUUGGGUUUAAGCCAUCACUGGCUCAUCUCAGAACCUUUGGUUGUCUGUGCUAUACUCAAGUUCCAGCUGAGAAGAGAAGCAAGCUAGACAAAAGAGCUCAAGCAGGGAUCCUGAUCGGCUACAGCUUGGUUAAGAAGGGCUACAGAAUUCUAGAACCUGCUACAAACAAGAUAUUGGUUAGCAGGGAUGUUGUUUUCAAUGAAAAAGGACACUGGAAUUGGGAGAAGGCUGAACCAGAGGCAGUGGCUGAAGAUCUGGCAGUGGACCAAGUUGAAAAUGGUGAAAACACACCUGAAAUGGAUGUAGAUGAUGUUCCAAUCAGAGGCACUCGAUCACUGGCUGAUGUUUAUGAAAGAGCACAAGUGGCUACUGUUGAACCAAAUUGCUUUGAAGAAGCAGAAAACCAGGAGGACUGGAAGCAAGCAAUGAUUGAAGAAAUCAGAAUGAUUGAAAAGAAUCAGACCUGGAGUCUGGUUGAUAAACCAACAAACAGGAAGAUUAUUGGUGUCAAAUGGGUUUAUCGAGUAAAGAACAAUGCUGAUGGUAGCCUAAACAAGUUAAAGGCUAGAUUGGUUGUGAAAGGCUUCAGUCAAAGGUAUGGAUCAGACUACCUGGAAACCUUUGCACCAGUGGCCAGGUUAGACACUAUUAGACUGCUAGUUGCCUUAGCAGCACAAAAACAGUGGCUGAUACACCAACUUGAUGUAAAAUCAGCAUUUCUGAAUGGAUUCCUUGAAGAGGAGAUUUAUGUGGAGCAACCUCAAGGUUUCAAGGUGUCUGGCAAAGAAGAUAUGGUGUACAAGCUCAACAAAGCCUUGUAUGGCUUGAAACAGGCUCCAAGGGCCUGGUAUAGCAGAAUAGAUGGCUAUCUGACCAGUCAAGGAUUUGAAAGAAGUCUUAGCGAGCCAACUCUGUAUGUUAAAUCAACUAGUGCUGAAACUCAGCUCAUUGUCUCAAUAUAUGUCGAUGACCUACUGGUGACAGGAGGAGAUCAUGAGAUGCUAAGCAGUUUUAAAGUCAAAAUGCAACAGCACUUUGAAAUGUCAGACUUGGGAUUGAUGUCUUACUUCUUAGGCAUGGAAGUAACUCAAGCUAAGAAUGGGAUUUGGCUAAGUCAAAAGACCUUUGCUAUGAAGGUUCUCAACAAAUUCUCAAUGGAGAAUUGCAAAGCAACCAGCACACCAGUUGCUGUUGGAGAAAAACUCUCGAGCCAAGACAAGCAUGAAAAGGUUUGUGAAACAACCUAUCGAAGUCUAGUUAGAUGUUUGUUGUAUUUGACUGCUACUAGACCUGACAUAAUGUAUGCUGUGAGUCUACUCUCGAGGUUUAUGCAUUCUUCAAAUGAAAGUCAUUUUAGAGCUGCAAAAAGGGUUCUAAGAUACAUCAAAGGAACUUUGUCCUAUGGAAUGCAGUUUACCAAGGCUGAGAACUUGAGGCUAGUUGGAUAUUGUGACAGUGAUUGGGCUGGUUCUUUGGAUGACAUGAAGAGCACUACAGGUUAUGCAUUCAACAUAGGCUCUGCUAUGAUAUGCUGGAGCUCAAAGAAGCAAGGAGUAGUGGCUCAGUCGACUGCAGAAGCAGAAUAUGUGGCUGCUGCUGCAGCAGUCAAUCAAGCCAUAUGGCUUAGAAAAAUUUUGAAAGAUAUCAAUCAUGAGCAAAAGGAAGCAACUGAGAUAAUGUCUGACAACCAAUCAGCAGUUGCUAUUGCAAAGAAUCCUGUUUUUCAUGGAAGGACCAAGCACUUCAACAUCAAACUUCAUGCAGUUCGGGAAAUGGAACAAGCUCAUGUUGUUAAGCUGAUACAUUGCAGUUCUGAAGAGCAAAUUACUGAUAUUUUAACAAAAGCACUAAGUGUUUCCAAGUUUCAACACCUGAGAGCUAAUAUGGGAGUUUGCAACAUGCUAACCAAGGAGGAGUGUUGAAGUAAUGGUCAGCAUGCAGCAACCAAGACUGUCAAAGGCACUACAUGCAGAAGCUGCUGGUUCACCUAGUCAGCAAGCUGUUUAUGUUUCAUUUUGUAAUUUUAAGUUAGAGUAAUGUAACUUAGUUGCUUUAUAACUAUGUUAGGUUUAUGUUUGAUGUAAUUUUGAUGUUGACUGAGCUGAUAAAUCAGCUUUGUUUGUUUAUUCAAGCUAAUUAGCACAAGUUACUAUGUGUAUUAGUGGUAGUAGGUGAAGUUUAGGUCAACCUACUGUUUUGUCAAGAUUGUAAACUUGUUUUAUGUAUUGGCUUUGUGCCAUAUUUAGUUUGAUGAAUGAAUUCAAGAAGUUAUCAUCCAUAUGCUCUCCAUUUUUAGUUUUGCUUAAAAAUCCAUUUGAGUUUUCUGCUUUGUUUCUCCUACAAGUCACGAGACUUGCCAUACAAGCAUUCUGCUGAAGCUUGCUGCUGCUGCCUCUUGCACCAACAAGAGGUCUAAGCUUUCCAAACUUUUAAGCCCUUUUAAAAAUUGGGGGAAUUCACUAAGAUUGCAAGAUGACAAAAAUAAGCUUGUAAGAUUAACAGUAGAAGUUGUAUUAGAUGUUAAGGAUAGGCUGUUAUAUGAAAGGUCAAGAUAUUCGAGAUUUGGAAGGUUUGAGAACAUGCGAAACUCUAUGACACCACUAAGAUAAUUUGAGGAUAAGCUAAGUUGGGUAAGAUUGAGAAGUUGGAAUAUUGAAGAUGGAAGAGGACCUUGGAGUUUAUUAUUCUCUAACCAUAUCCAUUCUAGUGAUUUGGAUUGGAAUUCUUUGAUAUGCCCACUGAAUUGAUUUUGAGAGAGAUAUAUUGUCUUUAAGGAGGGAGCAAUAUACAACCAUGACGGAAGUGUUCCAUUGAGUAAAUUGUCAGAUAAGUCUAAAUAUAUUAGAUUAUGAAAAGCGGUUACCUCAUCUGGAAUGGAACCUUCUAAAGAAUUGUUAGAUAUUGUCAAGUAUUCCAGCUGCGUUAGGUUUAGAAUUGACAAUGGAAUUUGUCCACUCAAUUUGUUCCAUCCCAAGUCUAAAACAGUGAGUUGCAAGAGGUUCCCCAAUGAUCUUGGAAUCUGUCCACUCAAUUGGUUCAGCCACAAGUCUAAAUGAGUGAGUUGCAAGAGGUUCCCUAAUGAUCUUGGAAUUUGUCCACUCAAUUGGUUCUUCGACAAGUCUAAAUGAGUGAGUUGCAAGAGGUUCCCCAAUUUUCUUGGAAUUUGUCCACUCAAUUGGUUCUCCGACAAGUCUAAAUGAGUGAGUUUCAAGAGAUUCCCCAGUGAUCUUGGAACCAGUCCUGAUAAGUUGGAAUGGGAGAGAACUAAAAACUUCAAGGACACAAGAUUCCCCAUCGAGUCAGGCAAUCCUCCACAAAUAUUUGCGUCUGAAAUUAUCAAUUGUUCAAGAUUGCUGCUCCGAUUGAACUUCAAAGGAUCAAGAUUGAGGUUUUGGUUGCCUCCCAAGUUGAGGAGAUUGAGGUUUGGCAAAUCAAAAAUGUUUUUUGGGAAUUUUCCUUGCAAAUCACAACCAACAAGACUGAGAGACCUUAGAGAAGAGGAUAGAUUCAUGAAGACAUGAGCAUUAACUGAAGACAUGUCCAUUUCAUCCAAAAACAGACGUCUGACCUCGGUUAGGUUGUGAACAAGACCCUCCAGAGCAUAUUUGUCAAUUGUUAAUAGUUCAUCAAACCCAGAAAGAUCAAGUGAAACCAAUUUUGACAGGUGGGAGACUUGGGAUGGGACUUCUGAAAACCAUGUAUUGGAAAGGUUGAGGUAGAAUAGGCUUGUAAACCGACCGAACUCGGAUGGAAUUUUGGAAGAAUUAAAAUCAUUGUAGGCAAGGUUGAGUUUUUGAAGGUGAGGAAGAAGGAAGAGAGUGGUAUUGGAAGGGAAGGUGCCAUAUAGCCAACUGCAGCUCAAGUCAAGGGCAAUAACAUGAGCAUUUAGGUGGUCACAAGUGACCCCAUCCCAUGAGCAGCAAUCUGUACCCUCCUUCCAUGAAUUUGUCUUGGGAUAAGAUUUAAGGCCAGCAAAAUAAUCGCAAUGAUCAAAAGAAGCAUCCUCUCUUAUGGAAAAGGAGUCCUUAAACUGGAUUAGUGAAGAGCAGGAGUGAGAUCCUGAAGAAGAAAAAGAAGCAUAAAGAUGGAGAAAGAAGAGGAAUAGGGAGAGAAAGAGAUAG
RNAcentral lists this long non-coding RNA (14042 nucleotides) under Gossypium barbadense (sea-island cotton). Its description in RNAcentral is "long non-coding RNA (GBAR_LNC016767)". The record is from RNAcentral. Lineage: Eukaryota; Viridiplantae; Streptophyta; Magnoliopsida; Malvales; Malvaceae.